Danio rerio (zebrafish) is the source of this 684-nucleotide non-coding RNA. The record is from RefSeq and is a predicted model, not a curated record. Lineage: Eukaryota; Metazoa; Chordata; Actinopteri; Cypriniformes; Danionidae.
GCGCGCCCACCCGCCCUUCAACUCGCUCUCAUCCAGCUCAAACAAGCGCUCAGCCAUGUCCACAGCCGCAGCAUCGGCGCCGACCUCUGCUCCCAAAACGCCAAAACGGAGGUCCAAGGCCAAGAAGUCUGGAGCCAGUGUGUCUGAUUUGAUCCUGAAGAUCGUGUCUUCCUCAAAGGAGCGCGGUGGAGUCUCUCUGGUGGCCCUGAAGAAAGCACUCGUUGCCAAUGGUUAUGAUGUGGUCAAAAACAACUCGCGCGUCAAACUGGCAGUGAGGCGACUGGUGGCAAACGGCCGCCUGAUUCAGACCAAAGGCACCGGAGCAUCAGGAUCAUUCAAGAUCGGCUCGAAAGCUGCUAAAAAGCCCAAGAAGGCAAAGGCGAAGAGAAAGACGCCCAAGAAGGCAAAGAGAAAGACGACUAAGAAGCCUGCUGGGGCCAAGAAAUCUCCAAAGAAGAGGAGAAGAAAGGUUCUGAAGAGUCCCGAAAAAGCCGACGAGACAGCCGCGGUCAAGAAGAGCCCAAGACCCAAGAGAGCCAAACGAAGAGCUUCCAAAACAAGCAGAGCAAGAACAGCCAAGAAAUAAUUGAUUUAAAGCAAAAUCACUGUUCUUAUAAUUUAUAAAGAUUUGCUGCAUUAGUUUAAUGCUUUGUAAAAAAUAAAAUAAUUCUUAAUUGCACUAAA